This is a non-coding RNA of Vicia faba (fava bean), 198 nucleotides long. Lineage: Eukaryota; Viridiplantae; Streptophyta; Magnoliopsida; Fabales; Fabaceae. The record is from the annotation of a GenBank genome assembly.
AUGUCUAUAGUCUUUGUUUUACUCCAAGGGAAAUGUUCUAACUUUGUUGACUUCAUGUCAUCAAACAUAUCUCAUACGAUUGCGCGAACCCCUUCAUUCAUUUUUUUGCUUGUUUGCUAUUUUGCUAAACUUAAGAUAAUUUUCCCAAAAGAUUCAAUUUUUAAACUCACACAUUUUAAGUCAAAACUUCGACAAUAG